Molecule: ribosomal RNA, 467 nt
Filed under: uncultured bacterium
Lineage: Bacteria
Description: partial 16S ribosomal RNA
Rfam family: Bacterial small subunit ribosomal RNA
Source: RNAcentral
GACGAACGCUGGCGGCGUGCUUAACACAUGCAAGUCGAACGGAAAGGCCCUGCUUUUGUGGGGUGCUCGAGUGGCGAACGGGUGAGUAACACGUGAGUAACCUGCCCUUGACUUUGGGAUAACUUCAGGAAACUGGGGCUAAUACCGGAUAGGAGCUCCUGCUGCAUGGUGGGGGUUGGAAAGUUUCGGCGGUUGGGGAUGGACUCGCGGCUUAUCAGCUUGUUGGUGGGGUAGUGGCUUACCAAGGCUUUGACGGGUAGCCGGCCUGAGAGGGUGACCGGCCACAUGGGGACUGGGAUACGGCCCAGACCCCUACGGGAGGCAGGAGGGGGGAAUAUUGCACAAGGGGCGGAAGCCUGAUGCAGCAACGCCGGGGGCGGGAUGGCGGCCUUGGGUUUGUAAACCGUUUUCGCCUGUGACGAAGCGUGGGUGACGGUAAUGGGUAAAGGAGCCCCGGCUAACUACGU